CGAAAGCCUGACGGAGCAACGCCGCGUGAGGGAUGAAGGCCUCUGGGCUGUAAACCUCUUUUAUCAAGGAAGAAGAUCUGACGGUACUUGAUGAAUAAGCCACGGCUAAUUCCGUGCCAGCAGCCGCGGUAAUACGGGAGUGGCAAGCGUUAUCCGGAAUUAUUGGGCGUAAAGCGUCCGCAGGCGGUUUUGAAAGUCUGUUGUUAAAGCGUGGAGCUUAACUCCAUUUCAGCAAUGGAAACUACAAGACUAGAGUGUGGUAGGGGCAGAGGGAAUUCCCGGUGUAGCGGUGAAAUGCGUAGAUAUCGGGAAGAACACCAGUGGCGAAGGCGGUGUGCCGGGCC
RNAcentral lists this ribosomal RNA (344 nucleotides) under uncultured bacterium. RNAcentral describes it as "bacterial SSU rRNA". It matches the Rfam family "Bacterial small subunit ribosomal RNA", at positions 376 to 735 of the family's 1533-position model. The record is from RNAcentral.